UACAAGACGAGAAGACCCUGUGGAGCUUAAGUCGCAUAACUCAACAAAUACUAACACAUAACCUACUGAAACAACCUGUAUAAGCCCCUGAGUUAUAGUCUUUGGUUGGGGUAACCUUGGAGCAUAAAAUAACCUCCGAAUGAAUAUAACCCAGAUUAACAAAUCUAAGUGUAACAAUACCAGUCAUUGACCCAUCUCUUGAUCAACGGAACAAGUUACCCCAGGGAUAACAGCACAAUCCUAUUUGAGAGCCCAUAUCGAAAAUUAGGGUUUACGACCUCGAUGUUGGAUCAGGACACCCAAAUGGUGCAACCACUAUUAAAGGUUCGUUUGUUCAACAAUUAAAGUCCUACAUGAUCUGAGUUCAGACCAGAGAAAUCCAGGUCAGUUUCUAUCGGUA
Molecule: non-coding RNA, 400 nt
Filed under: Sarcophilus harrisii (Tasmanian devil)
Lineage: Eukaryota; Metazoa; Chordata; Mammalia; Dasyuromorphia; Dasyuridae
Description: Bacterial large subunit ribosomal RNA
Rfam family: Bacterial large subunit ribosomal RNA
Source: Rfam by way of RNAcentral